AUUGCAGGCAAAUUCCACACAGUAAAAAAUGCAGACUUCGAAUCAGCAGAUUUGGCGCAUCCUGCGAAAGUUCGGCACAGACCAAGUUCAGCAUAGUAAGGGGAAGACGAAGCGAGGGAAGAGGACAAGAUGUUGUUGGUCGCAGAUAAAAGGGAACUGCAGCAAGGCGACUGCGGCUUAGCAUGACAAUGCAGGUGCCUCAUCCCACGUCAAAACGCAGCGUGGCGCCACGACGAGAUAGGCCGCAGAGGGAGAAUAAAGAAGCCCAGUUGCUGAUAUUUAUCCGAACAUUAGACUCGGCUAAACUCGAAUUUACCAGCCUGAUCCCGGAAAAUAACAUUAAAAGUGACUGGAAUCGUUUGAACGUCGAAUCACACGCCUCAUCAACCAACAGUCGCCUCUUUCAGACGAAUUCUUGUGGUUCGUCGCUUUGCAGAUAUCUGAAGAAUUUCUAUAUCGAUUCUAACUUCUGAACAGGUAAUUAGGAAGCAAGAUUCAAGUUCGAGAAGCAGCUUGGUUUAAUUUCAGUAACAGCCGCUUAAAUUACGAAGGGCAAAGUUGCAGAGUCGAAUCUCGACGCAAGAUUAGCAAUCGCUGCCAAGAUAUUUGCAGAGUUUUAUUAUGAGAAGCCAUUUUCUUAUGAAAAUUUGUUUAAAUCAAUUUUAUGCUAUAAUAUACUUUAAUUUCUAAAAAAUGAAACUCUAACCUCGAAAUAACAAACUCUGUGUAGCCUAACCUUAACAAUUUACAAAAACGCGACGUAAGAGAUAACGCAAACACACAAACAUACGUAAACCCAAAGUGAAAGAUACCAAAAAGGACAGCGACAGCUAACAUACUGGACCCAAUUCGCAGGCAACAUUAUCAUCAAACCCGAAUUAACGAAUAUCGACGUACGAGGAGAGCGAGAGGACCGAUGCACGAGGGCGUUCAGGUGAAAAAGAUCGGCCGACAGUGAGAAUCAGAACUAUGAGACGUGAGGGAAGUUCGAUCAAGAUGAAGAUUUCCUGAUCUGAUGCACGGCACAGAACGGAUGUCGCGGGUGGCCGCAGGUGGCGCCCUCGAUAUAAGCUCUUCUGACUGAACCGCUGAUACAGGACCGCUCUCCUAAAACUUUCACGGCGGAAUGUGUCAUCCUGUCACUGAACCCACAUGGGGUAAGAGACGUCCCAUGGGCCCGUCAACCGCGUCCCUCCAACUCCUAUACCUUUCUCCGUCUUUUUCUCUCGCUUCCUCCGAAUCUACUUCAUCCAAGUUAAACGCUGUUUCGUACACUGUUAUUACGUAACUGUGUGGGAACUUCAUUGACAACGAUAUCUGCUAUUUGUAGCUAUUAAUCCACUGAAAUGCACAGUCGUCUAGCAGGCAAGUCGUCUAACAUGCAAGGAAUGUUCAAGAUAUAAGUGUAGAACCGAAUCUUAGCACUUUGACUGCCACUUGGGUCAUAUGUGACCCACCACGGUUUCUCCUGUGACGCCACUGUGGUCAUUGGUGACCGGAGCGCUUUAACUUCUUACAAUUGUAAAAAUUGUAUGAAAAUUCACAGUUAGGGCACUGUGAAUAUAACCGAUAAAUAGAAGAUACUUUGAAAUAAAAAGUGUCCAUUGAACAAUUAAACAUUUUUAUUAGAACAUCAAUAAAAAAAGAUGAGGACAAAUGUUGCAUCUAACGGUGCACUGUGUUUGCAUUCAUAUCUUUAAGGGGAAAUCUACGAAUAAUAUUAUAAACACACCAUAGAAAAUAAUCGUAACUGCUGUUUUAUAAUCAUAUAAUUGAGGUUAGAAGUGUGAACAUACCUUACUGUUACAUAUAGAAUGAGCAAAUACUGUUUACUAAUAUCUCUACACGUUCAACAAUAUAUUCUGCACGUUUUGCUUGCGACGAAAUAACGAAAGCGAAUGGUUUGUUGAAAUAAACGAAGCCUUGUUAUAAUAUGUUGCUAUCAACUGUUAGCAAGGCGCCACGGUGAUCCCCCGUGACCACCAAUAAGAUAAACGGUCUAUUGGGGAAGAAUGUUGUCUUACAUCAUCAAUUUAUUAUUAUUUUGCCAUUAUAUGCUUUGAAUAAUAAAAAUAUACCCGUGGUAUCCUCAGCAAAACAUGUGAUUUCGGCGUGGCAGUCAAAGUGUUAAAAGAAAGUCUGUUCUAAAAUGAAAAUUUAUAAAAUUUUUGAACAUAUCAGAGAAUUCUAUGUAGCAUUUUCCAUAUACGUAGACGAGAAAGAAAGCUGAAUUUGUGAUGGGAAUAUUUAGACAUUUGAUAUGGAACAAUUAGUAUAACAAUGAGUUAAGGGUUGAAACACAAGAAAAUGCGAAGCAGAGUGCAAAGUUAUUUUGUAAUAAACAUUCGUCAAAUCUGUGAAUACACAUACAUUCAUAUACACAAAGAGAAAACGUAAAUGCGUUGUAGGAUGACUAGGAUGAUUUCGCGCGAAGAAAUUAGUGGCCCACUGGAUUGAGGUCACUCGCUUAAAAUAAAUUCAUAUUUGAACAGUAUCUUUGUUUUGG
This is a long non-coding RNA of Bombus huntii, 2506 nucleotides long. RefSeq lists it as uncharacterized. The record is from RefSeq and is a predicted model, not a curated record. NCBI's taxonomy places the organism in Eukaryota, Metazoa, Arthropoda, Insecta, Hymenoptera, Apidae. The transcript is spliced from 3 exons.